Molecule: non-coding RNA, 1113 nt
Organism: Paramisgurnus dabryanus
Lineage: Eukaryota; Metazoa; Chordata; Actinopteri; Cypriniformes; Cobitidae
Source: RefSeq, a predicted model, not a curated record
AUGGACCAUGGCGGAGACCAGCAGCUCAGGUGUUUUUAAAUGGACAGAUGAGCACACACGUGUGUUUAUUCAAGCGCAUGAAGCCAUCUUAACUGGAAAGCUUAAUGCUGCCAUUAAAGGCUUUGAUUGCUUGAUCAUGGUUUUCCUCAUCCUCUGGAUCAACCACAUCCACAUUAAGAAGAGCAAGUUUGUGGGGUGAUGAGUGUAUGGGGUGAUGAGGCAGAUGGGUGUACUUAGACAAGGAUAGCCACCAUCCUGGAGGAUGCACUUGCCUGCAGGUGGAAAUAGGCUGCCAGCAGAGCUGUUCCUUAGCACCCUGAUGUAAUGCACAGACCCAGGAUAUCCCACAAAGUGCUCAGCUGCUUCAUCAAAAUAAAUCUACAGAAUUGCCACAGCUGUGUUGAGAUCGGUGUUGGUUGUAACUAUUUACUAAGUUAUUAGUUACUGUAAUUUAAUUACUUUUCCCUUGAAAAAUUAAAGUAAGGGAUUACUCUUAUUUUUCUUGUAAUCUAAUUACAGUUACUUCUGCUGUAACUAAAUACUGUGGACUCUAAAACAAUUAUGUAUACUAUAAAACAAUAGUGAAUUUAACAUGGUUAGGUUUACAAUUCUCAUAACUGGUUGAUUAUAAGCAUUAAUAUUAAUGAGAUGCUGGCUGUUUAUUAAUACUUAAUAACACAUAUUAAUGCCUGAUUCUGCAAAACCUUAUUCUAUGAACUUAACCCUCCCCAUUUCUACCAAUAUUUAAAAUUAACAACUUCUUAAGUAUUAAUAAGCAGUAGUUAGAGUAUAUUGAGGCAAAAGUAGUUAAUAGUUAGUUAAUAGAGAGAAUUGAACCCUAAAGUGGGAUAAAGAAUAAUUUAUGUAGUUUUAUAUAUUAUUUCUUCUGGCCAUUUCAAGCCUAUCCUUGUAUCAUGUACUAAAUAGGAUUUAGGAAGUAAUUAGUAAUAAGUAAUUAAAUAUUUUUUUGGAGAGAGUAAUUUGUAGUCUUAUUACAUGAUUUAAGAUGUAAUUAGUAACUAGUAAUUAAUUACUUUUUUUGAGUAACUUACCCAACACUGGUUGAGAUGGCAGUAAAUAUGUAAUAGUUUGUUAUAAAAAAUACAUUUGAAA